CAGCAGCCGCGGUAACACGUAGGGUGCGAGCGUUAAUCGGAAUUACUGGGCGUAAAGCGUGCGCAGGCGGUUAUAUAAGACAGAUGUGAAAUCCCCGGGCUCAACCUGGGACCUGCAUUUGUGACUGUAUAGCUAGAGUACGGUAGAGGGGGAUGGAAUUCCGCGUGUAGCAGUGAAAUGCGUAGAUAUGCGGAGGAACACCGAUGGCGAAGGCAAUCCCCUGGACCUGUACUGACGCUCAUGCACGAAAGCGUGGGGAGCAAACAGGAUUAGAUACCCCAGUAGUCCCUGUCUCUUAUAC
Molecule: ribosomal RNA, 301 nt
Filed under: uncultured bacterium
Lineage: Bacteria
Description: partial 16S ribosomal RNA
Rfam family: Bacterial small subunit ribosomal RNA
Source: RNAcentral